RNAcentral lists this ribosomal RNA (274 nucleotides) under uncultured bacterium. RNAcentral describes it as "partial 16S ribosomal RNA". It matches the Rfam family "Bacterial small subunit ribosomal RNA", at positions 523 to 796 of the family's 1533-position model. The record is from RNAcentral.
AUACGGAGGGUGCGAGCGUUAAUCGGAAUUACAGGGCGUAAAGCGUACGUAGGCGGUUUGCUAAGUCAGAUGUGAAAGCCCCGGGCUUAACCUGGGAACUGCAUUUGAUACUGGCAGACUAGAGUAUGAUAGAGGGGGGUAGAAUUCCUGGUGUAGCGGUGAAAUGCGUAGAUAUCAGGAGGAAUACCAGUGGCGAAGGAGGCCCCCUGGAUCAAUACUGACGCUGAGGUACGAAAGCGUGGGGAGCGAACAGGAUUAGAAACCCUAGUAGUCC